CAUUAAAUGGCUGAAAGUAAGUAAUGGUCUCUUAAACCAAGUAUAAUAUAGUAACAAAUAUUUUUAAUGA
Molecule: transfer RNA, 70 nt
Filed under: Ceratophysella communis
Lineage: Eukaryota; Metazoa; Arthropoda; Collembola; Poduromorpha; Hypogastruridae
Description: tRNA-Lys
Source: RNAcentral